Molecule: long non-coding RNA, 346 nt
Organism: Hemicordylus capensis (graceful crag lizard)
Lineage: Eukaryota; Metazoa; Chordata; Lepidosauria; Squamata; Cordylidae
Exons: 3
Source: RefSeq, a predicted model, not a curated record
CUCCGCGAAUACUUCCUUUGACCGGCUUUCCAUAUUUGCAGCUGAUACUGGCUGUCUUAUCUCGCCUGCCACCUCUGGCAGGGAGCCAGCCGGGACUAUUUUCACCCAGACAGUCAACGGCCUUUAUCAAUAAAAAGGCACAUCUGCCUUUUUGAGAGGCGCUAUCUCUCUUAAGAGACCUUCCCCGCUGGUCUUUCGUUCCUUAGGACGGCGUGCCCAGGCUCUGCUCAUCCAAAGGCAUCUGGCUCAUCAAACAGAGGAGAAGCCACAAGUCCCUUUGGGUUCAAAUACUCAGUAUGUGAUGUUUUAGUUUCUUAAUAAAUCCUGAUUUGUUUUCUGAACUCAA